RNAcentral lists this transfer RNA (74 nucleotides) under Candidatus Gracilibacteria bacterium CG17_big_fil_post_rev_8_21_14_2_50_48_13. Its description in RNAcentral is "tRNA-Trp". It matches the Rfam family "tRNA". Rfam says of the family: Transfer RNA (tRNA) molecules are approximately 80 nucleotides in length. Lineage: Bacteria; Candidatus Altimarinota. The record is from RNAcentral.
AGGCCUAUAGUUCAAUGGCAGAAUACCGGUCUCCAAAACCGUUGAUCUCAGUUCGACUCUGGGUAGGCCUGCCA